GGUGAGUAGGUGUGGCAUGUUUUUGCGCAUGUCUGACCUAGAAUAAUUUGAAUUUAGCAUUGCGCAUGCUCUACUUUUUCGAACUAUGAAAGUCGAAGUCGACUUCGAGAGUGAAUGUACUUAAUGUGUAGUUCGACAGUAUCGAAAUGAACGAUCAGUGUUCGGCAUGCGAGGCACGUACGUGUGGCGCCGGCGCUAGAACAGCAGGUCGGUGUGCAGGCUGCGGGCCUCGCUCCACGAGCGCGCCGCGUCGGCGCCGCAGGGCCGCGCGUCGCCCUCGGCCUCGUCCGCGGCCGGCGCCGCGCCCUCUGCAACACACACGUCAUACAUGUCGGCCCGCAGCGCCGCCCGCCCCCUCCCCGAGCUAUACUGACCGGCGGCGGCGGCGGCGGGCGCCUGCCUGGUGACGCCCAGCUGGAAGGCGUCGGCGCAGGUCUUGCUGGGCGUGUAGCGGCCCAGCGCCGCCGACGCUGCAACACACGCUAACGUUAGUGUCCCGCACGAACUCACCCGCCCGCGACCUGGAUCGCUACUUCUAGCGACUACAAUCUUCAACUAUAAAAACUUUUGUUCAAAAUUCACUAUGCUUUCAUACGAUGAGUAGUAUAAGUAAUAAUGAUGUAAAGUAAUAAUAAUGAGUAAUAAGUUUACAUAUAAAAAUCUAAAGCGACAACGAGCGAUAUAAUAAAAAUCGAGCGACAACGACCUAGCCAAACGUUUAAAAUAUGCAUAGUAUUUGCCGAAGGCGGUAGAGGGCGUCACACGAAGCACUCGCGCGGCUGCGGCGCGGGCCGCCGCGCCGCUCUGCGCCGCAGCCCUGCGCGUGCGCAACAAACUCUUCGUUGUAAUAUUUAUAGUUAAGUCUUUUUUUAUAUUAAGCUAGAAGAUAAUGUAUUUAUUGUGUAAUCCAUUAUUUAUAAUAAAUAUCUAUUGGAAAUAGAUAAUACAAGUUGC
Pectinophora gossypiella (pink bollworm) is the source of this 954-nucleotide long non-coding RNA. RefSeq lists it as uncharacterized. NCBI's taxonomy places the organism in Eukaryota, Metazoa, Arthropoda, Insecta, Lepidoptera, Gelechiidae. The record is from RefSeq and is a predicted model, not a curated record. The transcript is spliced from 2 exons.